AUUUUGACAUUUGUGCCCCCCGGCUGCCGGGGGAAAAUAGAUUUUACCUUUUAUUUUUAUGCAGUGAUCUGAAACUGAUGAUCUGGAACUUCUGAGUUCAAAGCAUUUCUCAUUGUAUUAAUCCAGCAUAUUCAGUUAAAGUUCUCAAUUUAGCAAACAAAUGCAAGGCAACAUCGCAGGAAAGCCCAUGUUUCUGAAGUAUAUCCGUAUCCGACGCCAUUAUGAAUGUUGGAUUUCUCAUUUCUCCGAGAAUGUUGUUCAGGACUUCAGAUCUAUUGACACUUCCAUAUCUUGAUCAAUGAACACAUUUUGCAAUUUGUCUGCAACUGUGCUUUAACCUCCAUAGGAGCUGUGAACAUAAAAAAUCAAUUAAAAUUUCUUGUUAUGCAAUUUCAAAACUGAUUUCACAAACAUUUUAAUGCUUAUCCUACUGUUGAGUACUUGUUAAUAUUUUAAAGGUGUUGUACAUUCAAGUCAACCUUAAGGCAGACACCAGACAGGUGGCCAUUUUAAGAUUUUGCUUUGCUUGUCUGCUGUUUCAUUACCUGCUAAUAAUGGUAUAAAAUUCUAGCACUUCUUAAUGUAUGUUGAAACAUAUUUGUGGGAAGUCUGAUUUUGAUAUGUCAAAGUACUUCACUAAUUUGCUUGCUAAUCUGCAAAAUGUGUUCAAUUGAUCCCCAUAGGAACUGUGAACAUUCAAAAUUUAAUUAAAAUUUCUUGUUCUGUAAUUUUAAGACUGAUUUCACAAAUGUAGAAAAUGAAUGGGAAAAAUUGAAUUAUCCAGUAACAUGUUUUGCUGACAAACUUUGUUUAGCAUAGCAGCUCAUAAGUUUUGUUUUUAAUUAUCAUUUGGAACAAUUAAACAAAUGGUACUUUUAAUUUUCAGGUCAUGGAAAUUGGUAGACAAAAGAUGAAAUAUGAAAUGGUCUGAAGCUGAACAUGGUUAAGGUAAGCAUGCUACGCAAACUGGAGGUGCGAAAGGCAGUGGAACGGUGCUCGGAAGGUGACGGAGGACAGGAUGACUGUGAAAUUGUACAGUACGAUGAGUAACCAGUUUACGGGAAGGUUUAGGUAUCCGAAAUGCAUUAUCUGCUAAUUGUUUGAUUCGCUAAAAUUGUCUCCUUGCAUAUUUUGAUUUGAAUCGUAAUGUAGAAAGUUGACAAAUGUUCGUGAUGCAAUUCGUUUCAGAGUUGCAUCGUUUGGGUUCAGGAAGGUAAAGUUCCUUUUAUAGAACCGCUCAGGCCCCUGAAUGUGAAAGGUGUUGACACCAUCCCAAUGUUUACACAAGCUUGUAGUUCUAACUUGUAGUUCUUAUUUCGCUUUGGUUAAAGCUCUUUUUGUCCAAACAAAAUCUAUCUUGUUAGUAUUUCAAUUUCUCGUAUGUGCGAGUUCUUAAUUGCGUAAAACACUUCGGGUCUACACUGCUUUUUGAGAAAUGUAGUAACUUCUGAUUUUCACCCAUCAUCCGGGUUUUCUUUCUUUUAUGCAGAUUUUUCCCUAUCGCGUAGCUCCGAUCCAUUAUGCGCUAAGUUGGCGUUAAUCUUACUUGUUUUAGAGGAAAUGGCAUGCAGAAUGUUGCGGAGGAAUUUGACCAAAAGGAUGCAUAAGAUAGUAUAGAAUCUUCACUCUCACGGAGAAACAGCGAAUUAAUUGCGUUGAUGAAUUAACGAUUUGCCAUGACUGCUAAUUAACGAAAGAAUUGUUUGCAGAUGAUAGUAAAUUACUGAUGAAGCUUCACGAUUCUCAACUACUCAACACAUGCUGCGAUGGAAGACCACACUGAGGGAAGAAAGAGCUCUCCAUCAGUGAGAGGAGAUGAUUUGGACUUGGUGGAAUACCUGAAGUCUUCAGCAGUCGCGCCGGCAUCUGUGUUUCUGCUUUCGUUCCAGCACAUUUCUAUGUCGGUAGCAUGUUGGGCGUAACAAUGGAAAAUCAAGUAUGCUGAUCUGAAGAAAACAAACAAAAGCGAGGUCGCAGAUUUCAUUUGGUAGGAGCUUGGUAUUCAGCGGUGUUUACUUAGAGUAAAAUACACGACUUUGCUAGAGAG
Daphnia magna is the source of this 2047-nucleotide long non-coding RNA. RefSeq lists it as uncharacterized. The transcript is spliced from 4 exons. The record is from RefSeq and is a predicted model, not a curated record. NCBI's taxonomy places the organism in Eukaryota, Metazoa, Arthropoda, Branchiopoda, Diplostraca, Daphniidae.